AACGAACGCUGGCGGCAUGCCUAACACAUGCAAGUCGAACGAGACCUUCGGGUCUAGUGGCGCACGGGUGCGUAACGCGUGGGAACCUGCCCUUAGGUUCGGAAUAACUCCCCGAAAGGGGUGCUAAUACCGGAUAAUGUCUUCGGACCAAAGAUUUAUCGCCUUUGGAUGGGCCCGCGUUGGAUUAGCUAGUUGGUAGGGUAAAAGCCUACCAAGGCGACGAUCCAGAGCUGGUCUGAGAGGAUGAUCAGCCACACUGGGACUGAGACACGGCCCAGACUCCUACGGGAGGGAGCAGUGGGGAAUAUUGGACAAUGGGCGAAAGCCUGAUCCAGCAAUGCCGCGUGAGUGAUGAAGGCCUUAGGGUUGUAAAGCUCUUUUACCCGGGAUGAUAAUGACAGUACCGGGAGAAUAAGCACCGGCUAACUCCGUG
RNAcentral lists this ribosomal RNA (433 nucleotides) under uncultured bacterium. RNAcentral's name for it is "partial 16S ribosomal RNA". It matches the Rfam family "Bacterial small subunit ribosomal RNA", at positions 29 to 507 of the family's 1533-position model. The record is from RNAcentral.